GGUCCUACGGGAGGCAGCAGUGAGGAAUAUUGGUCAAUGGCCGGAAGGCUGAACCAGCCAAGCCGCGUGAAGGACGAAGGUGCCAAGCAUUGUAAACUUCUUUUGUCAAGGGACAAAAUCAGGCUCGAGAGCCUGACCGAGGGUACUUGAAGAAAAAGCAUCGGCUAACUCCGUGCCAGCAGCCGCGGUAAUACGGAGGAUGCGAGCGUUAUCCGGAUUUAUUGGGUUUAAAGGGUGCGUAGGCGGACAGUCAAGUCAGCGGUAAAAAUGCGGUGCUCAACGCCGUACAGCCGUUGAAACUGGCG
RNAcentral lists this ribosomal RNA (305 nucleotides) under uncultured bacterium. RNAcentral's name for it is "bacterial SSU rRNA". It matches the Rfam family "Bacterial small subunit ribosomal RNA", at positions 335 to 638 of the family's 1533-position model. The record is from RNAcentral.